UACGUAGGGGGCUAGCGUUAUCCGGAAUUACUGGGCGUAAAGGGUGCGUAGGUGGUUUCUUAAGUCAGAGGUGAAAGGCUACGGCUCAACCGUAGUAAGCCUUUGAAACUGGGGAACUUGAGUGCAGGAGAGGAGAGUGGAAUUCCUAGUGUAGCGGUGAAAUGCGUAGAUAUUAGGAGGAACACCAGUUGCGAAGGCGGCUCUCUGGACUGCAACUAACACUGAGGCACGAAAGCGUGGGGAGCAAACAGG
Molecule: ribosomal RNA, 252 nt
Filed under: uncultured bacterium
Lineage: Bacteria
Description: partial 16S ribosomal RNA
Rfam family: Bacterial small subunit ribosomal RNA
Source: RNAcentral